UACGUAGGAGGCGAGCGUUGUCCGGAUUUCCUGGGCGUAAAGUGUGCGCAGGUGGCCGCGCAAGUCGAGUGUGAAAUCCCCGAGCUUAACUUGGGAAUUGCGCUCGAAACUACGUGGCUCGAGUGUGGCAGAGGAAGGUGGAAUUCCACGUGUAGCGGUGAAAUGCGUAGAGAUGUGGAGGAACACCGAUGGCGAAGGCAGCCUUCUGGGCCAACACUGACGCUCAUGCACGAAAGCGUGGGGAGCAAACAGG
RNAcentral lists this ribosomal RNA (253 nucleotides) under uncultured bacterium. RNAcentral describes it as "partial 16S ribosomal RNA". It matches the Rfam family "Bacterial small subunit ribosomal RNA", at positions 524 to 776 of the family's 1533-position model. The record is from RNAcentral.